CAAAAUUAUUAUUCAACAGCUCCAGGACUGUCUAUCUCCUCAUGUACAGAGGUAGGGAUACAAAAUUAGAUAAAGGAUUAAUAUAGGUGUGAUAUUUUCAUAUGAUUGCUAAAUGUGUGGGUUUUUUUAAAAUUCAUUUUAAAGCUACAGAGUUAAAGACUAUAAGUGACAGUGAGGUAUUAAAUCAGACUGAAGGAGAGGAGGAUAACACAGAAGAAAACUCGAACAACAAGUCUGAAGGGAUGAAGGAAACUAAUUCAAAAACCUCCUGUGAACAACGUCUGGCCGACAAGACUAAGACAGAGAGGAAGGAACAAAAGGGUAACAAGAACAAGUUCAUUUCUUUCAUAAAAAAAAAAUGGAAUUCUCUGGAACAUCCCUCCGAACGUGCAGCAGGUCAGAAGCCUGUUGAGACCACUUCAGAGGAUCUGACAGACAAGUUGAAAGAAGAACAGGGUGAAGAUACUGGUCCUGAAGAACAGAAAGGAAACGAAGAACCCAAAAAACUACAGGGACUUCAUUAUGGCCGGUAUGAUCAGGGAGAUACAAAUGAUCUCAACUUACUCUUACGGAAAGAUUCCCAUGAUACAAGCUACAGUGAGGAACGCAGCUUUGAACGGACUAUCAACACAAAAUCAUUUACUGGAGACAACAAGGUGUACCUUGACGAGAAGAUGAAAAUAACAAGUAGCUCUGCUAAGAAAAUGAUCACUGAAUACAAGGUGGAACUCAUCUACUGUCUGAUGGCGGAUCAUUCCAUUAUUCUGCAGCAUGCACAUGCCAAACAGAUCAUCACAGACAGACAAUAUCAGAAUAUAAGGGAAAAGUCUACCUCAACACCACAAGAAACUGUCACUGACCUGAUUGAUCACGUGAUUUUGAAGACUGGACCAAAAAGCUGGACUGGUUUCCUUGAUGUUCUCAAACUACCUGAUGUUCUGAGCACUUAUCCACAGCUCAAAGAAAUCAUAAAUAAAAUGCUGCGCAGCAAUAGUGGAAGCAGUGCAUAAGAUGUGAUUUUUGAUGCCAGACAGACAAAAGUGAUAUGAUUUAAAUAAGUCUGUUUAUGUUUUUUUUACAUGCCAGUUUUUCUUCUCAAAAUGUUAAGCAAUAUUUUACAAAUCCACCCUUUACCUUCUAAAAUGCACAUAGAAGGAUCACAGCAACAGUGUUUUCAUUUGAGAGAUUAUAACUAACAGUUGUUUUGUUUUAUGAAAAUAUGUCAGCAUAAAAUACUAAUCCUAGUUUUGAUGAAAUUAAAGACUGAAGGCCUCAACUUUUAUCUGUCAUUGGAUGCCAUGUUGAUACAUUUUGACUGGAUUUUCCUACAUGUACAUACUCAGCACAUUAAGGAUGCUGCUGAACAUAAUCUACAAAAUUGGUGAUUUCUUUGUUUUUGGGGGGUUGCCAUGGUAAUGAAAUGGUCAUUUUAAUUAUAGUUGGAACGACGACAGAACCACUUUGGAGUAUGUUGCCAGGUGUUAACAUAUCUGCCUGUGUAUAUAUAAUAAAUAAAUACAUUUUAAUUUUUUAAAGUUGCAUACAGAAUUUUAAAAAAUAUUUCAUUGUACAUAUGUUACUUUACAUACAUACAUACACACACAACAGAUUAGUUAUCGACUAUUAAAAUUAGGAAUUAGUUCAGCCAGUUUAUCUGUGGUAGUGUUUUCAACUUUGUUUUCUCAUCAUGUUUUUAUGUGUUGUCUUGACGAGCAGAUUAAUAAAUAAAAGUCCGAUUUCAGUACAUUUGAAUGAUAUAAUGGUUGAUGAAUGACUUUAAAUUACAUUUGAUUAUUAAUCUAGACUGGUGCUGAAACAACAGCUAAGUAUCUCGGGAAAACAUUUAGUUGUUGGUUUUUAUCUGUCCAUGAAUAAAGCUCAAACAGAGGGGCAAAAUACACAACACAGUGGAAAGAGUGUUCUGGGGACCUUAUUUCCCUCUGAGAACAGCUUGGACAAAGAAAUAUUUAUAGAGUCCUUUUGUGUUUUUAAAGGUAGCCUAUUCUCAGCAAGACACAGGGACAUUUUAGAACCAUCCUGUGGCGAUAAGUCCAUGUUUUUCAAAGUAUUGCAGUGUUUCAGGUGAUUGUGAGGCUGUUAUAAGCUAUUAUUAUUAUUAUUAUUAUUAUUAUUAUUAUUAUUAUUAUUAUUAUUAUUAUUAUUAUUAUUAUUAUUAUUAUUAUUAUUAUUAUUAUUAUUAUCAUCAUUAUUAUAAAAUCAACAAUGAGAACUAAAAGGGUGGGUUUGACUCGGAUGGACUGUUGACCAUCAUUUUACAUCUGAUCACUUUAUAAAAUGUGAUGUAUCACUGUAAAUAAGUAGUAGAAGACGAACUCUGAUCAUUAAUUUAUGUACCUAUGUUAUUUUUUUUUACAAGUGGGUAAGUCCUGCAUUCAAUUUAACUCCAGUAAAAGUAUAAAGGUAUUAACAGCAAAAGUAUCAAAUAGCAUUUAAAUGUUGUGAGGUGAAGUUUAUCUUAUCUGCUUUAUAUGUUUUUUAGGUGGUUUAGAUCAUAACAAUACAUCAUAUUUUAUAAACUGGUCAACUGUUUUGAAAGUAAAAUCAUAAUGUGAAUAAUGAUUCACCACAAAUUAUGAAUGAAGGAAAGAUUCUCGCGACGGUUUUAGAUGUACAAUAAUAGUUUAAAUACUUCAGACAGACGUGAGAAUGUACAGCAACAACUUCGAGAGUGAGAAUUCAGAAAAUGUUGUACACUGAGUAAACGUAUCAUGGAC
This 2735-nucleotide long non-coding RNA is filed under the name Sparus aurata (gilthead seabream). Its description in RNAcentral is "lncRNA (ENSSAUG00010008583.1)". The record is from RNAcentral. Lineage: Eukaryota; Metazoa; Chordata; Actinopteri; Spariformes; Sparidae.